UACGUAGGGGGCUAGCGUUGUCCGGAUUUAUUGGGCGUAAAGAGCGUGUAGGCGGACAGGUAGGUCUGCUGUGAAAACUCGAGGCUCAACCUCGAGACGUCGGCGGAAACCAUCUGGCUAGAGUCCGGAAGAGGAGAGUGGAAUUCCUGGUGUAGCGGUGAAAUGCGCAGAUAUCAGGAAGAACACCCGUGGCGAAGGCGGCUCUCUGGGACGGUACUGACGCUGAGACGCGAAAGCGUGGGGAGCGAACAGG
RNAcentral lists this ribosomal RNA (253 nucleotides) under uncultured bacterium. Its description in RNAcentral is "partial 16S ribosomal RNA". It matches the Rfam family "Bacterial small subunit ribosomal RNA", at positions 524 to 776 of the family's 1533-position model. The record is from RNAcentral.